This 71-nucleotide transfer RNA is filed under the name Medicago truncatula (barrel medic). Its description in RNAcentral is "tRNA-Ile (AAT) (tRNA-Ile-AAT-9-1)". It matches the Rfam family "tRNA". From Rfam's summary of the family: Transfer RNA (tRNA) molecules are approximately 80 nucleotides in length. Their secondary structure includes four short double-helical elements and three loops (D, anti-codon, and T loops). Further hydrogen bonds mediate the characteristic L-shaped molecular structure. tRNAs have two regions of fundamental functional importance: the anti-codon, which is responsible for specific mRNA codon recognition, and the 3' end, to which the tRNAs corresponding amino acid is attached (by aminoacyl-tRNA synthetases). tRNAs cope with the degeneracy of the genetic code in two manners: having more than one tRNA (with a specific anti-codon) for a particular amino acid; and 'wobble' base-pairing, i.e. permitting non-standard base-pairing at the 3rd anti-codon position. Lineage: Eukaryota; Viridiplantae; Streptophyta; Magnoliopsida; Fabales; Fabaceae. The record is from Rfam by way of RNAcentral.
GGCCUAUUAGCUCAGUUGGUUAGAGCGUCGUGCUAAUAACGCGAAGGUUGCAGGUGAACCUGCAUAGGCCA